UACGUAGGGGGCAAGCGUUGUCCGGAAUUAUUGGGCGUAAAGAGCUCGUAGGCGGUUUGUCGCGUCUGGUGUGAAAAUCCAGGGCUUAACCCUGGACCUGCAUCGGGUACGGGCAGACUAGAGUGCGGUAGGGGAGAUCGGAAUUCCUGGUGUAGCGGUGAAAUGCGCAGAUAUCAGGAGGAACACCGGUGGCGAAGGCGGAUCUCUGGGCCGUAACUGACGCUGAGGAGCGAAAGCAUGGGGAGCGAACAGG
RNAcentral lists this ribosomal RNA (253 nucleotides) under uncultured bacterium. RNAcentral's name for it is "partial 16S ribosomal RNA". It matches the Rfam family "Bacterial small subunit ribosomal RNA", at positions 524 to 776 of the family's 1533-position model. The record is from RNAcentral.